UCAACCUUUACAUGACAAACUUCAUAAAAACUUUCAAAACAAUAACUAUUUGUAUCCUCAUGUGACCACAACACGAGUACCAUUCCAAAUUUCACCAGCAACCGCCUCUUCCAUUCUCCAAAGCAUGGUCGGCGUACCAUCAAUAUUACUCUGGAUCUGCAACAGAAAACACCACAAACUCCAACAACCUUCAGGAUAUUAAAACACUUUAACACUCACCAUAAAACUCCAUUUUUAGACCACUAUUCACCUUACACAAACUCUCUUUGUUCACUGAACCACAACAACGCCACAGAAACUGCCGUGUCCGCCGUUG
RNAcentral lists this long non-coding RNA (316 nucleotides) under Lathyrus oleraceus (garden pea). RNAcentral's name for it is "Pisum sativum (pea) long non-coding RNA (PSAT_LNC022865)". Lineage: Eukaryota; Viridiplantae; Streptophyta; Magnoliopsida; Fabales; Fabaceae. The record is from RNAcentral.